UUUUUUUUUUUUGAGACAGAGUCUCGCUCUUGUCACCCAGGCUGGAGUGCAAUGGUGCGAUCUCAGCUCGCUGCAACCUCUGCCUCCCAGGUUCAAGUGAUUCUCCUGCCUCAGUCCCCCAAAUAGCUGGGAUUACAGGCACCUGCCACCAUGCCUGGCUACUUUUUGUAUUUUUAGUAGAGACAGGGUUUCACCAUGUUGGCCAGGCUGGUCUCGAACUCCUGACUUCAGGUGAUCCACCCAUUUUAGCCUCCCAAAGUGCUGGGAUUACAGGCAUGAGCCACUGCCCCCGGCCCUCUGGUUGAAUCUUGAUGGAUGGACCAGUUAAGGAUGGCUGAGGAAAAAGGUCCACACAGGAGGAAUAGAACGAGCAGAGUUAUGAAAGGUGGGGCUCAUGCAGGGAACCACAGGUGGCUUGGCAUUUCUAGAAACAGAAUGAGAAGCAGAGAGAGCAAGAAGACGCUAGAGAGGGAGGAAAUGGCUGGGCCGUGGAGGAACUGAAUGGCAUACUGAACGUUUGGCCAGUGCAAGAUACAGCUGAAUGAAGGAGGCUUCUGUAUGCGUGGCGAUGCUGCUGUGAAGUUUACGUGACCUGUUACGGUAUUUGCUGUUCUCUGAAUAAUGUUCCACAUGACAAAUUUACUUCAGAAUACAGUCCUUUUAAAAAUGUUGAUUCCUUUCUACAGUCAGAUAGCAAGAAUUAGGUGAUAUAUUCUAUCAGGACAGGGUAGGUUAUACUGUCUAAUAAAUAAACCACCUAUUUCAGUGGCUUCGUGAUAAAGGGUUUGUCUUCCUCAUGUCAUGCUGGGCAGAUGUUUUUCUUUGGUGACUCUUUAUCAAGCAGUGUCUCAGGGCCCCAGGGUCCUUUUAUCUCGUGACAUUGCAAACUUAAAUGUGUGGCCUUUGAGACUGCCAAGAAAAUGAGAUCGCAGAUUGUGGACAAUCUUGCCGGUCGGGGUGGGGUGGGUCACCGCUGGGCCUGAGUGUGGCUUCUGUAACUUCCAACAGGUCCUCACAAGUAGCACCCAGUCACCCGUCCCUAACUGCUAGCAGGCUGGGGAAUGUGGCCUUUAGCAGAAUCUUCAGGAAACGAUUUCUGUGAAAAUGACCCCUUCAGCAAUUAGAAUGAC
RNAcentral lists this long non-coding RNA (1130 nucleotides) under Homo sapiens (human). RNAcentral describes it as "HSALNT0100912". Lineage: Eukaryota; Metazoa; Chordata; Mammalia; Primates; Hominidae. The record is from RNAcentral.